Molecule: non-coding RNA, 32 nt
Filed under: Rattus norvegicus (Norway rat)
Lineage: Eukaryota; Metazoa; Chordata; Mammalia; Rodentia; Muridae
Source: RNAcentral
UGAAGGUCAGAGAGACUACGGUCUCAUAGGGG